AUUGAACGCUGGCGGCAGGCCUAACACAUGCAAGUCGAGCGGAUGAAGGGAGCUUGCUCCUGGAUUCAGCGGCGGACGGGUGAGUAAUGCCUAGGAAUCUGCCUGGUAGUGGGGGAUAACGUCCGGAAACGGGCGCUAAUACCGCAUACGUCCUGAGGGAGAAAGUGGGGGAUCUUCGGACCUCACGCUAUCAGAUGGGCCUAGGUCGGAUUAGCUAGUUGGUGGGGUAAAGGCCUACCAAGGCGACGAUCCGUAACUGGUCUGAGAGGAUGAUCAGUCACACUGGAACUGAGACACGGUCCAGACUCCUACGGGAGGCAGCAGUGGGGAAUAUUGGACAAAGGGCGAAAGCCUGAUCCAGCCAUGCCUCGUGUGUGAAGAAGGUCUUCGGAUUGUAAAGCACUUUAAGUUGGGAGGAAGGGCAGUAAGUUAAUACCUUGCUGUUUUGACGUUACCAACAGAAUAAGCACCGGCUAACUUCGUG
RNAcentral lists this ribosomal RNA (484 nucleotides) under uncultured bacterium. RNAcentral describes it as "partial 16S ribosomal RNA". It matches the Rfam family "Bacterial small subunit ribosomal RNA", at positions 30 to 507 of the family's 1533-position model. The record is from RNAcentral.